UCGGUCAGCUCGUGUCGUGAGAUGUUGGUUAAGUCCCGCAACGAGCCGCAACCCUCGACCUUAGUUGCCAGCAUUCAGUUGGGCACUCUAAGGUGAACUGCCGGCUAAAAGUCGGAGGAAGGUGGGGAUGACGUCAAAUCAUCAUGCCCCUUAUGACCUGGGCUACACACGUGCUACAAUGGGCGGUACAAAAGGUCGCGAACCCGCGAGGGGGAGCCAAUCCCAAAAAGCCGCUCUCAGUUCGGAUUGCAGGCUGCAACUCGCCUGCAUGAAGCCGGAAUCGCUAGUAAUCGCGGAUCAGCAUGCCGCGGUGAAUACGUUCCCGGGCCUU
RNAcentral lists this ribosomal RNA (331 nucleotides) under uncultured Anoxybacillus sp. RNAcentral's name for it is "bacterial SSU rRNA". It matches the Rfam family "Bacterial small subunit ribosomal RNA", at positions 1052 to 1382 of the family's 1533-position model. Lineage: Bacteria; Bacillati; Bacillota; Bacilli; Caryophanales; Anoxybacillaceae. The record is from RNAcentral.